ACAGCACUCCUACCGGGAGGGCAGCAGUGGGGAAGUAAUUGCACAAUGGGGGAAACCCUGAUGCAGCGACGCCGCGUGAAGGAAGAAGUAUCUCGGUAUGUAAACUUCUAUCAGCAGGGAAGAUAGUGACGGUACCUGACUAAGAAGCCCCGGCUAACUACGUGCC
Molecule: ribosomal RNA, 166 nt
Filed under: uncultured bacterium
Lineage: Bacteria
Description: partial 16S ribosomal RNA
Rfam family: Bacterial small subunit ribosomal RNA
Source: RNAcentral